Molecule: unclassified non-coding RNA, 815 nt
Filed under: Hevea brasiliensis (rubber tree)
Lineage: Eukaryota; Viridiplantae; Streptophyta; Magnoliopsida; Malpighiales; Euphorbiaceae
Source: RNAcentral
GGUUCUCUACAGAGAAGAACGACGACACUCUCUGUCUUGGCAGAAAUGAACCCAAGAAGAAAGACAUUUCGGCAUCCACAAUUGUAGCACUCUAGAAUUGUUUCUCCAAGUGGACUAUCUUUAUGAAGACACACCUCCUUGUGUUUUGCUCGCACCAGGUGAUUAACAAUAUGUGAGCCCGAAGUGUUUCCUCUGGAAUUACAGAACCACUUACGGCAAGAUGGCACAUUGCACCUAACUACACAAGCAGGAUUCGUCACUCCACAGUACUUACAAGCAUGCUCAACCCCAAAAUCCCCUUUUCCAUACUCAAAACCCUCAUCAUCCCCUGUCUCUUCAAAAUUCAACCCACUCAUCCCCGCUGCCAAUGCAUCCACAACCGACGCCUGAUUACUACUACUACUAACAUUACUAUUCCCACCUCCACCCCGUGAUUUCGUCGACGGCGACGCUUCCGACGAUGGAGGCCGAUCAGGUACUUCAGAUACCAGAGAAUCAGACGGUGUUGGCCACGCAGAAGAUCGAAUUGGCUGUGAAAGCUCUUGAAAUUCAGGAUAAUCAAACUCUUCCCCUUGUGUGUUGAAUUCCAGAAACGUGUAUGCGUCGUUGCCGGUAUCCGGCUGAGACGCCGUGUCGUAGAGAUUGUUCGGCUGAGAAUCCAUAGUCAAAAAAAAAUCCUUCAACUGCUUCUUACACUGUAUACUUUUUUUCACCAAAAUCAAAAAUUGUUUAUGAAAAACUAGCGCUAAAGGUUGGAUUUUUGCAUGAAAUUGAUGAAAAUUUUGGAUUUUUCGCAGUGAAAUUUAUGUAGACUG